RNAcentral lists this ribosomal RNA (433 nucleotides) under Vairimorpha ceranae. RNAcentral's name for it is "SSU rRNA". It matches the Rfam family "Microsporidia small subunit ribosomal RNA", at positions 37 to 468 of the family's 1311-position model. The record is from RNAcentral. Lineage: Eukaryota; Fungi; Microsporidia; Nosematidae.
CUAAGAUUAACCCAUGCAUGUUUUUGACAUUUGAAAAAUGGACUGCUCAGUAAUACUCACUUUAUUUUAUGUAAAUUUUUAAUUAACUACGUUAAAGUGUAGAUAAGAUGUUUACAGUAAGAGUGAGACCUAUCAGCUAGUUGUUAAGGUAAUGGCUUAACAAGGCUGUGACGGGUAACGGUAUUACUUUGUAAUAUUCCGGAGAAGGAGCCUGAGAGACGGCUACUAAGUCUAAGGAUUGCAGCAGGGGCGAAACUUGACCUAUGGAUUUUAUCUGAGGCAGUUAUGGGAAGUAAUAUUAUAUUGUUUCAUAUUUUAAAAGUAUAUGAGGUGAUUAAUUGGAGGGCAAAUCAAGUGCCAGCAGCCGCGGUAAUACUUGUUCCAAGAGUGUGUAUGAUGAUUGAUGCAGUUAAAAAGUCCGUAGUUUAUUUUU